This 465-nucleotide ribosomal RNA is filed under the name Vreelandella stevensii. RNAcentral's name for it is "partial 16S ribosomal RNA". It matches the Rfam family "Bacterial small subunit ribosomal RNA", at positions 338 to 795 of the family's 1533-position model. The record is from RNAcentral. Lineage: Bacteria; Pseudomonadati; Pseudomonadota; Gammaproteobacteria; Oceanospirillales; Halomonadaceae.
CCUACGGGGGACUGCAGUGGGGAAUAUUGGACAAUGGGGGGAACCCUGAUCCAGCCAUGCCGCGUGUGUGAAGAAGGCCCUCGGGUUGUAAAGCACUUUCAGUGAGGAAGAACGCCUGGUGGUUAAUACCCAUCAGGAAAGACAUCACUCACAGAAGAAGCACCGGCUAACUCCGUGCCAGCAGCCGCGGUAAUACGGAGGGUGCGAGCGUUAAUCGGAAUUACUGGGCGUAAAGCGCGCGUAGGUGGCUUGAUAAGCCGGUUGUGAAAGCCCCGGGCUCAACCUGGGAACGGCAUCCGGAACUGUCAAGCUAGAGUGCAGGAGAGGAAGGUAGAAUUCCCGGUGUAGCGGUGAAAUGCGUAGAGAUCGGGAGGAAUACCAGUGGCGAAGGCGGCCUUCUGGACUGACACUGACACUGAGGUGCGAAAGCGUGGGUAGCAAACAGGGUUAGAUACCCUGGUAGUC